GACGAACGCUGGCGGCGUGCUUAACACAUGCAAGUCGAACGGAAAGGCCCUGCUUUUGUGGGGUGCUCGAGUGGCGAACGGGUGAGUAACACGUGAGUAACCUGCCCUUGACUUUGGGAUAACUUCAGGAAACUGGGGCUAAUACCGGAUAGGAGCUCCUGCUGCAUGGUGGGGGUUGGAAAGUUUCGGCGGUUGGGGAUGGACUCGCGGCUUAUCAGCUUGUUGGUGGGGUAGUGGCUUACCAAGGCUUUGACGGGUAGCCGGCCUGAGAGGGUGACCGGCCACAUUGGGACUGAGAUACGGCCCAGCCUCGUAAGGGAGGCAGCAGUGGGGAAUAUUGCACAAUGGGCGGAAGCCUGAUGCGGCAACGCCGCGUGCGGGAUGACGGCCUUCGGGUUGUAAACCGCUUUCGCCUGUGACGAAGCGUGAGUGACGGUAAUGGGUAAAGAAGCACCGGCUAACUACGUG
Molecule: ribosomal RNA, 468 nt
Filed under: uncultured bacterium
Lineage: Bacteria
Description: partial 16S ribosomal RNA
Rfam family: Bacterial small subunit ribosomal RNA
Source: RNAcentral